CUGCCCCUUGGUUCGGAAUAACAGUUGGAAACGACUGCUAAUACCGGAUGAUGACGUAAGUCCAAAGAUUUAUCGCCGAGGGAUGAGCCCGCGUAGGAUUAGGUAGUUGGUGUGGUAAAGGCGCACCAAGCCGACGAUCCUUAGCUGGUCUGAGAGGAUGAUCAGCCACACUGGGACUGAGACACGGCCCAGACUCCUACGGGAGGCAGCAGUGGGGAAUAUUGGACAAUGGGCGAAAGCCUGAUCCAGCAAUGCCGCGUGAGUGUAUGAAGGCCUUAGGGUUGUAAAGCUCUUUUACCCGGGAUGAUAAUGACAGUACCGGGAGAAUAAGCUCCGGCUAACUCCGUGCCAGCAGCCGCGGUAAUACG
Molecule: ribosomal RNA, 368 nt
Filed under: uncultured Sphingomonas sp.
Lineage: Bacteria; Pseudomonadati; Pseudomonadota; Alphaproteobacteria; Sphingomonadales; Sphingomonadaceae
Description: bacterial SSU rRNA
Rfam family: Bacterial small subunit ribosomal RNA
Source: RNAcentral